RNAcentral lists this ribosomal RNA (500 nucleotides) under uncultured bacterium. RNAcentral's name for it is "partial 16S ribosomal RNA". It matches the Rfam family "Bacterial small subunit ribosomal RNA", at positions 30 to 523 of the family's 1533-position model. The record is from RNAcentral.
AUUGAACGCUGGCGGAAUGCUUUACACAUGCAAGUCGAACGGCAGCACGGACUUCGGUCUGGUGGCGGGUGGCGAACGGGUGAGUAAUGUAUCGGGACGUGCCCAGUCGUGGGGGAUAACGUAGUGAAAAUUACGCUAAUACCGCAUACGAUCUAUGGAUGAAAGCGGGGGAUCGCAAGACCUCGCGCGAUUGGAGCGGCCGAUAUCAGAUUAGGUAGUUGGUGGGGUAAAGGCCCACCAAGCCAACGAUCUGUAGCUGGUCUGAGAGGACGACCAGCCACACUGGAACCGAGACACGGUCCAGACUCCUACGGGAGGCAGCAGUGGGGAAUUUUGGACAAUGGGCGAAAGCCUGAUCCAGCCAUUCCGCGUGCAGGAUGAAGGCCCUCGGGUUGUAAACUGCUUUUGUACAGAACGAAAAGGUUUCUACUAAUACUAGGAGCUCAUGACGGUACUGUAAGAAUAAGCACCGGCUAACUACGUGCCAGCAGCCGCAGUAA